GGCUAAGGUACCGGAGGGUUGGGAUCGGCCAACGCGGAGGCGCCUUUUACUUAGCCACUACCUCUCCUAUCUAACUUGGGGCGUCCAGGAUCCGCAGCGACGACUUCUCUUUUCUUCGGGGUUGUGCUGCUUCCCGUGUAGCUGCGCCGCUCGUGCGUGCGUUGACGUUCAGGCGGGGGGCGGUGGUUAGGGGAUAGAAGAGACGAAGCUCUGCGUGCGGUGGGAGUGGGCGCGACGGCGACCUAGUACCUACCGCCCCGCUUUCCCGGUUCUGGACGCUGACUAAAACGCCGCGUAGUCGUCGUUCGUUACCGCCCGGACAUGCACGGUCACCUAGAUGUAUUCCACAGCCGCGUCCCGACCGUGACGCCGGUCCACUGCAGCGAUGGCGGCGGGUCGUGGUACGUCUCGACGGCGCGCUCGGCCGGGUGCGGUUGCGCGCUCUUCAUGAGCGGCGACGGGACGGGCUGCGGCCUGUGGUGCCGAGGACAUGGAGAGAACGGCUGCGGAGCUUCUGGCCGCACCACAACCGGCCGAAGUCCAGCCGCGCCCUCUAGCGCAGCCGCCGGGCCCCUCAGCGCCGCAUCCGCCCCCUCGUGCACCCUGAACAUCGAGACCACGGCCGGGACGAGGAGGGCUUCCUUCCGGGACCUCAGCUCGGCGUCCCACUCUCGGGUGAGGCCACUUCCUAACCUAGCGACCUCUUACUGGAAGAGACAAGAAGUUAGCGCAAGACCACUUCCUCAGCUAACGGCCACUUUAUGCAUUAAUAGAAACGAAAAGAGGACAAUAGAAGGGGUACUUAGCGAUUGACGUCAAUCCUUGUAGUCUAACGAAAGUUGAAAUCUUAUAAAAGGGAACUAGUUGGAGACGGGAAAAUAAGCACCUUCUUCGUCGGCCACUCCUGCUGGACGAGAGGAAAAGUUAGACUCGAUAUAACAGGCCAAACCAUGGAGUACAACCGUACUUUAAAUUUUUAAGCCUACUUCGAACCCGUAAAACGGAAUCGACACCACCAGUUUUCCCGAAACUCUAAGCUUUUUCUAUAUGCUUGUUUUCCAGGCGUCUACCGUUCCAUUGCAGUACAGCUAAACAAACACGUUCCUUUACCUUACGAAUUAGAUAAAAGGAUUUCAUUUAAGUCAAUAGUUCAGACUUUUACAUGUUCAUCGUUCCCGAUGUACCCGAUUAAGUCAAUUGUUCAGACUUUUGAUUUAAGCCAAUAGUCGAUUAGCCGGACGUCGACAGCUGUUCCUGCCGCACCGUGUCGGCUGGUGAUGGUACCUCUACCCACACGUCCAGCAGCUGCACCCCAACGACGCGCGCAUACGGCUCCACAAGUAGUGCCCGCUGCUGAGCUCCUCCGGCUGCUUGUCCUGCGGGAACCUGGUCGUACCGCCCCCCUCCGGUACAUCGUGUGCAACGAGACCAACGGGACAUAGGACCUGCGGCGGCUGGUGUCCCCGAGGCCGACGUGCACAAAGGGCCGGUGGAGGCUGUACCCCCGAGAGCGCUGCACAACGAACCAUAGGGCCGGUGGCGCCUGUCGCUCCCGAGGGAAACGUGCACAACGAAACAAAGGGCCGGCGGCGACUGGUGAGCCCGAGGCCGAAGUGCACAACGAGACGCAGGUGGCGAGGAAACCGCUGUUACUCCUGUGUGGCUCUCGAGUAAGAUGGGGCUGCCUUUGACCUAACAAAAAAACUCUCCCUCUUGUCCUUAAGAUCCCCUUGCUCCUCUAAUAACUUUAAUCCGCCAGUAGUACCAAACCUAUAAAAACAACAAAAAGAAAAGCCAAAGUAUGAUGAUAACCUAAAACAACAAAGAGUGAUUCUCGAUAAGUUGAAUAUUAGGGUUACAAGACAACAAUAAAAGGUUUGAUAAUUUUUGACCCAUACACGAAAUAACACUUACAAGUGUUCUCUUCGAAUGAUAAACUUUAAUGUCCAACGUUUAUGGAAGCAAUGAGACCUGGAACAGUACCUUCCUAAUUGUGAUUUACUGGUAUUUACUUAAUGUAACCGGUCCUGGAAAGUCUAAUACUCCCGCUCCUACAGAAUAACUAUGUUGAACUACCAUCCAAAGACAUACUUGAUCGUAAAAAAACAAAGAAUCUACGCGUUUGAACAUAGAGGCUUGAAACUACUUAAUACAGUAAACUAGUCGAAGGCACCUUUGAUGAUUAAAAACAACGGAGAUAUAUGCGUGAAUGUAUAGAAAAAAAGGGUCACGGAUAACCGUCACCGUGUAAACAUCCAUGGUUGAUCUUCUUUUUUUCUAACUUUUAUAUAAAAAGAAACCAAGCCUUAUAAUAAGGAGUUUAAAUCAGGUCAAAUCUAGUUUACUAAUGAGAUUAGAUACUUAUUGUGCACUUAAUACAGUCAAUACGUCAAAUUCUCCAGUACCGACGUUAUAUACUGUUUGUUAAUAUAGACGUGAUGUACUACUUGUAGAUAUAUUAUGGUACCAAUGGGCGCUCCACAACCACUACCGCAACCAACGGUUCUACGUCAUGAGCUAGCUCCCCCCUGUAUUACGUUUAUAUGAACCGGUGUUAAAUUAAAAGAAGUACCUGACUUAAACAUAGUUAAUCAAUUGCUAUAAACCAUCAACAAUGCGUUACCUGAACCCGUACAUAAGUAUUUCGUACUAUAAACAAUCAGCUCUGCACGCAACGUGCACGUACGAAUGAUCAAAAAAAAUUAACCUUAAGAUGUUGGCAGGUCUCCUUAGACCACGGGAGGCGAAGUGGACGCGGGCCAGUGAGGUAUGCACCUCUAAGGAGUACGAAGUG
RNAcentral lists this ribosomal RNA (2794 nucleotides) under Triticum aestivum (bread wheat). RNAcentral describes it as "partial small subunit ribosomal RNA". Lineage: Eukaryota; Viridiplantae; Streptophyta; Magnoliopsida; Poales; Poaceae. The record is from RNAcentral.